Molecule: non-coding RNA, 352 nt
Organism: Notechis scutatus (mainland tiger snake)
Lineage: Eukaryota; Metazoa; Chordata; Lepidosauria; Squamata; Elapidae
Source: RefSeq, a predicted model, not a curated record
UAUAACUAUGUAAAUGUCAAACUGAUUUUUUUUUUCCAAAAAGUUUUUAAUUUUUUAAUUUUUACACAUCUCUUUGCGUGGGCAACGUGGUUCCAGAUUAUAUCACUUGUACAUAAUCAUACUUUCAUUUCCACCAAUCUUAUAUGAUGUCAUCUCAUAUCAUUAUCCAUUUUACCCAUAUUUAAAUAAAUUUUCAUUUUAUAUUUCAAUUCAUUAGUUCAAUAUCAAUAUCAUUUCAUCCAUAUAUAGAUUUCCAGUUCUUUAUCUCCUAUUAUUUCCAUUUUCAGCUUACCAACUAUUUUAUUUAACAUUACACAUCAUUAUUAUCCUUAAUUUUCCCUAAGCCAAUUAU